GGCGGGUUAUUGCUUAUGAUUAUAAUCAUCAUGAUGGGCGAUCCUAAACGUUUGUAUCCACCUUCAAUGAAAACCCUGCUGAAAUCUCUGCAACGACCAAAAUACGAUUAAGCUCAAGCAUCAUGCAGGCGACAGACGACUGCUGGCAGCCGACGAAACAAAAGGUUGUGGCGCCGCCUGUCACACACCCAUACACCCGAUCACCUGACCAUGCAAACUCACUCAUUCAUCCACUUACCCAUCCCUUCAUCUGUUUUUCCAUGCAUCUACUAAAUACCAUACAUGGCCAUCUCCAUGCCGGCACCCACACAAACCACGCGUGUCCCUGCGCCCUCCUACCGGCGUGUGUAUGCACCCCGGCCUAGCUACCUACCUCGCCUGCCUGAGCUCACCUUCCCGGCCAGCUACCAACCCGCCUAUCUAGGAAAGUGCUGGACUUGCAAUCAGUGCAGUGUGUUAUGCAUUUUAACCUCUGACUCGCGAGCAGCGAUCGCUGCUGGCUGACCGGCGGAUCCGUAUACAUACACACACACUCACUCUGCAUGGGAGGUACACAGCACGCUCCACAGCAAUCUACAGCCAUGACACACAUACACACAUACAUACAUAUACACACAUACAUAUAAAACCCUAAAACCCUAAACAUACAUAUCAGGGUUCGACACUGACCUUCCUGAAACUUGCGGGCUCCCCCGUACCUCCCAAAUUUUCCUUACGGAGGGGCCCCCGUACCAGGCUCCUGUACCGGCCGAAAACCUUACGGGGGCCCCCGUAACCCCCGUAAAACUUUUACGGGUGCACUGUCCU
Molecule: long non-coding RNA, 807 nt
Filed under: Volvox carteri
Lineage: Eukaryota; Viridiplantae; Chlorophyta; Chlorophyceae; Chlamydomonadales; Volvocaceae
Description: long non-coding RNA (VCAR_LNC001651)
Source: RNAcentral